GGACACCAACAAAGCCUUGCAAUCUUGUGGUACGUCGAAGAAAAGGAUGUAAACUCCGUAAUUGCUGCGCAAAGAAACCACUCUCACAUGAAAUAUCAACCCUACCCUCCAACUCCACUCACACACCAACCCUCUCUAAAUUUCCAGCACCUUCACCUACCUAUCAAAGCCCACAUCCCGUCUACAAAACAUCUCCAUCACCAACAUAUCAGCCCACCUCUCCAUGAUAUUCCCUACCGGCACCCGUAUACUAAUCUUACAACUCCCAACCUCCUCACUAUCCAUCAC
This 288-nucleotide long non-coding RNA is filed under the name Nicotiana benthamiana. RNAcentral describes it as "long non-coding RNA (NBEN_LNC030254)". The record is from RNAcentral. Lineage: Eukaryota; Viridiplantae; Streptophyta; Magnoliopsida; Solanales; Solanaceae.